GCUAUAAUGCAGUCGAACGCAAUCUUUAGCCACUGAGUGCUUGCACUCAACAGUUAAAGUGCGAGUGGCGAACGGGUGAGUAACACGUGGGCAAUCUGCCCAAAAGUGGGGGAUAACACUUGGAAACAGGUGCUAAUACCGCAUCAACCGGCUGACCGCAUGGUCGGCCGGGCAAAGACGGCGUCAGCUGUCGCUUUUGGAUGAGCCCGCGGCGUAUUAACUAGUUGGUAAGGUAACGGCUUACCAAGGUGAUGAUACGUAGCCGAACUGAGAGGUUGAUCGGCCACAUUGGGACUGAGACACGGCCCAAACUCCUACGGGAGGCAGCAGUAGGGAAUCUUCCACAAUGGACGCAAGUCUGAUGGAGCAACGCCGCGUGUAUGAAGAAGGUCUUCGGAUCGUAAAAUACUGUUGUCAGAGAGGAACACGUGAUAGAGUAACUGCUAUGGCGCUGACGGUAUCUGACCAGCAAGUCACGGCUAACUACGUGCCAGCAGCCGCGGUAAUACGUAGGUGGCAAGCGUUGUCCGGAUUUAUUGGGCGUAAAGGGAACGCAGGCGGUCUUUUAAGUCUGAUGUGAAAGCCUUCGGCUUAACCGGAGAAGUGCAUUGGAAACUGGAAGACUUGAGUGCAGAAGAGGAGAGUGGAACUCCAUGUGUAGCGGUGAAAUGCGUAGAUAUAUGGAAGAACACCAGUGGCGAAAGCGGCUCUCUGGUCUGUAACUGACGCUGAGGUUCGA
This 739-nucleotide ribosomal RNA is filed under the name uncultured bacterium. RNAcentral describes it as "bacterial SSU rRNA". It matches the Rfam family "Bacterial small subunit ribosomal RNA", at positions 46 to 756 of the family's 1533-position model. The record is from RNAcentral.